RNAcentral lists this small RNA (32 nucleotides) under Arabidopsis thaliana (thale cress). RNAcentral describes it as "ATSL302230". The record is from RNAcentral. Lineage: Eukaryota; Viridiplantae; Streptophyta; Magnoliopsida; Brassicales; Brassicaceae.
UCAUGACAUGGAUGAAGAGGCGCAUGAUAGCC